RNAcentral lists this unclassified non-coding RNA (604 nucleotides) under Homarus americanus (American lobster). Its description in RNAcentral is "tigger transposable element-derived protein 4-like, transcript variant X7". The record is from RNAcentral. Lineage: Eukaryota; Metazoa; Arthropoda; Malacostraca; Decapoda; Nephropidae.
GCCGCCACCACGUAAACAUGGACGCCUGAAUUCUGUCGUAUAGCGAAUUUGUAGUCUGCACAGUUCUUGAUAUAUAAAGGAUUUCUGGAUCAACUGUAUGGAUGAGUUGAUGAAGAUCUUGGAAGAUGUACAGUGAAGAACAUCAGACCUGGCUGUACGGUGCCAGAUGAUGUGCUGCCGUAACAAAUGAGAGAAAAUGUGGAUGACAGCUAGCAGUUACCCGUUUUGAACACCAGUAUGAAGCGGACAUAAGUGUUACUGGCGAUGAAUACUUAAUCUUCAAUCAACAGCGCUGCUGCUGUGUCCAGCCAUUGUGUUGAAGCUAAUAAACAAAUAUUCACCUUCAGUCAUUUUAUUUAACCCUUCUGACUUUGUUCCUUGUUGACUCUUUCUUUCAAUGUGCAUUUUGUAUUGGAUGCUUUGAAGAAUAUUUAGAAUAUGAAUGAUCUAAAAUUUGAUUUAGUUAUUACUUACUGUAGAGGUACUGUCAUUGUAGUAGUUAUUAUUAUUUUGAUUACUGUUGGAUGCAAUAAAAAAUAUUAACUUUAAAACACUGCAUGUUAGUAGAUAUUAGAAUGCUAAUAAUAUUUAUAUAACUUACUAC